CCUACGGGCCGCACCAGUGGGGAAUAUUGGACAAUGGGCGCAAGCCUGAUCCAGCCAUACCGCGUGGGUGAAGAAGGCCUUCGGGUUGUAAAGCCCUUUUGUUGGGAAAGAAAAGCAGUCGGUUAAUACCCGGUUGUUCUGACGGUACCCAAAGAAUAAGCACCGGCUAACUUCGUGCCAGCAGCCGCGGUAAUACGAAGGGUGCAAGCGUUACUCGGAGUUACUGGGCGUAAAGCGUGCGUAGGUGGUUGUUUGAGUCUGUUGUGAAAGCCCUGGGCUCAACCUGGGAAUUGCAGUGGAUACUGGGCGACUAGAGUGUGGUAGAGGGUAGUGGAAUUCCCGGUGUAGCAGUGAAAUGCGUAGAGAUCGGGAGGAACAUCCAUGGCGAAGGCAGCUACCUGGACCAACACUGACACUGAGGCACGAAAGCGUGGGGAGCAAACAGGAUUAGAUACCCGCGUAGUC
RNAcentral lists this ribosomal RNA (465 nucleotides) under uncultured bacterium. Its description in RNAcentral is "bacterial SSU rRNA". It matches the Rfam family "Bacterial small subunit ribosomal RNA", at positions 338 to 795 of the family's 1533-position model. The record is from RNAcentral.